CAUUUUUUAAGCCAUAGGGGCGAGGAAAUAUUUAUUCUUUCAUUUUCUGGUGCUCUCGCAGGAAACCCCGGCUCUUUGCUCGAACCAGUCAUGGCUUCUCUCUCUCUAAAGCCUUUAUACGCAAUCUUCCUGCUCCUAACCCUAACUCUAACCCUAGAAUCCAUCAUUGUUCGAGCUUCGGACUCGUCCUCUCACUACUCGAAGUUCUCAGGCGUGAUAAUCCCUGGUUUCGCUUCUACUCAGCUUAGGGCUUGGUCGGUACUCGAUUGCCCUUACUCUCCUCUCGAUUUCAACCCCCUCGAUGCUGUAUGGCUUGAUACCCGGAAGGUUCUAUCUGCUGUGAAUUGUUGGCUCAAAUGCAUGCUACUAGACCCUUAUAAUCAAACAGACCAUCCUGAGUGCAAAUCACGACCUGACAGUGGACUUUCUGCAAUUACAGAGUUGGAUCCAGGUUAUAUAACAGGUCCUCUUUCUUCUGUCUGGAAGGACUGGGUCCGAUGGUGCAUUGAGUUUGGAAUUGAGGCAAAUGCAAUCAUGGCGGUUCCUUAUGACUGGAGACUAUCGGCAUCAAUGCUUGAGGAGCGAGACCUUUACUUUCAUAAGCUAAAGUUAACUUUUGAGACUGCCCUCAAACUCCGUGGUGGUCCAUCUUUGGUGUUUGCUCAUUCGAUGGGUAACAAUGUCUUCCAUUAUUUUUUAGAGUGGCUGAAGUUGGAAAUUGCACCCAAAAUGUAUAACAAAUGGCUUGACGAUCACAUACAUGCUUAUUUUGCCGUUGGUGCUCCACUUCUUGGUGCACCAGAGUCUGUCAAAGCAGUACUUUCUGGAGUUACUUAUGGCCUUCCAAUUGCUGAGGGAACAGCUCGUUUGAUGUACAAUUCGUUUGGUUCGUCUUUGUGGUUACUGCCAUUCUCAGAACAUUGUAGGGCAGAUAAUUCGCACUGGAGACACUUAUUUGAUGGGAAAGUAAGAGGAAAUAACACAAGCCAUUGUGCUGAUGUGGAAUUUCAGCUGAAUUUUUCUGGAUGGCCAGCAGACAUUAUCAAUAUUGAAGUUCCUUCUAAGAUGGGCAACAGUAGUGCCUAUCCAUCUUUUGCAGAAGAAGCAAAUGCUGUAACAUCAGAAAUGGAAUGUGGAAUGCCUGUUCAGUUAUCUUUUUCAGCUAGAGAGUUGUCAGAUGGAACCUUUUUCAAAGCAAUAGAGGACUAUGACCCGGAUAGCGAGAGGCUUCUGUACCAACUCCAGAAGUUGUAUCAUGAUGAUCCGGUGCUUAAUCCUUUAACACCUUGGGAUAGACCACCAUUAAAGAACAUUUUCUGUAUAUAUGGUGUAGACAUGAAAACUGAGGUUGGGUACCAUUUUGCUCCAAGUGGGAAGCCAUAUCCUGAUAACUGGAUCGUAACUGAUGUUAUAUAUGAAUUUGAACAAGCACUAAACUCAAGAUCUGGGAAUUCAGUUAAUGGGAAUCAUGGACACACAAGUGGGGACGAGACGGUGCCAUACCAUUCUCUCUCAUGGUGUAAGACUUGGCUGGGGAAUCGAGUGAAUGUUACAAGGAGUCCUCAGUCAGAGCAUGAGGGUCUUGAUGUCCAAGUGCACCUAAAUGUAGGGCAUCAUGGAAGAGACAUAGUUCCUAACAUGACAAGGGCACAGCGUGUGAAAUAUAUAACUUAUUAUGAAGAUGGUGAAAGCAUUCCAGGAAGAAGGACUGCUGUUUGGGAGCUUGAUAAAGUUGAUAAUUUGGAUGCUGGGGAUGCAUUUCUAAUCAUGGAAAAUUUUGGGAGGUGCCAACCACGAGCUGGUGAAUCAUAGGAACAUAGUUCGCUCUCCUGUUCUUAUGCGAGAACUAUGGCUGGAAAUGUGGCAUGAUACCCAUCCUGAUGCGAAAUCGAAGUUUGUUACAAAGGCUAAACGAGGACCUUUGAGGCAUGAUGACUGUUACUGGGAUUACGGAAAAGCACGGUGUGCUUGGCCUGACCAUUGUGAAUACAGGUAUCUCUUUGGGGAUGUUCAUCUUGGACAGAGCUGUAGGCUGAAGAUUUCUCCUGAUGAUCUUCUUUCACACUAUCUAUAGACCUCUCAGUGAAUUUCGUCACUUGUCAAUUACCAUAAGCUGGCAUUUUGUAGCUACAACACAGGAUAAUUUCAUUGCUUAUCAUGCCAUAGAUACCCUCUGAAACUCAUAAUUUAUUUCAAUGGUGCUAACUUUUCCGACUAAUAAUGUAUUGUACAUGUGAUCAUAUGAUCGGGAUCAUUCUGUAGGUUGAUAUUGACUUGAGAUGAUCAAUUGUAAGGAGAAAUUGCAUCGUAUGAACUUGCUUUUAUUGCGCUAAA
RNA transcript from Amborella trichopoda, 2334 nucleotides. It is a transcript of the gene named phospholipid sterol acyl transferase 1, with no coding region annotated. The record is from RefSeq and is a predicted model, not a curated record. NCBI's taxonomy places the organism in Eukaryota, Viridiplantae, Streptophyta, Magnoliopsida, Amborellales, Amborellaceae.